This 253-nucleotide unclassified non-coding RNA is filed under the name uncultured Alphaproteobacteria bacterium. RNAcentral describes it as "contains 16S-23S intergenic spacer region". It matches the Rfam family "Bacterial small subunit ribosomal RNA", at positions 524 to 776 of the family's 1533-position model. The record is from RNAcentral. Lineage: Bacteria; Pseudomonadati; Pseudomonadota; Alphaproteobacteria.
UACGAAGGGGGCGAGCGUUGUUCGGAAUUACUGGGCGUAAAGCGCGUGUAGGCGGUUUGAUCAGUCAGCUGUGAAAUCCCGGGGCUCAACCCCGGAACUGCAGUUGAUACUGUCAGGCUGGAGUGCGGGAGAGGUGAGUGGAAUUCCUAGUGUAGAGGUGAAAUUCGUAGAUAUUAGGAAGAACACCAGUGGCGAAGGCGGCUCACUGGCCCGUAACUGACGCUGAGACGCGAAAGCGUGGGGAGCGAACAGG